Molecule: non-coding RNA, 5487 nt
Organism: Podarcis lilfordi (Lilford's wall lizard)
Lineage: Eukaryota; Metazoa; Chordata; Lepidosauria; Squamata; Lacertidae
Source: the annotation of a GenBank genome assembly
CUCAUGCCAUUUUGAAAUGUCUUAACUUGAAAUGCCAAUAAAGAUUAUUGUAUUGUAUUGUAUUGUAUUAUGAUUAACAUGGGAAGUCAGGGGGCCUUGGAUGGCUUCUGAGGGUGCUAAGGAGGGCUUCUGAGGGUGCCAUGGAGUCCACAUGCCACAUGUGUCACAAGGGAGGGGGGUCCUCUGUCAUCAUUUCUUUAUUACUAAAUACCCUACCUUGAGUCCUAGUGUCCCCAGCCCUGUCUAUAUAUGGUCUCCUGUGAUGUCACAAACAUACAUAGCAGCUGAGGGGAAAGAGGCAGUUUCUUAUUCUAGAAUUUCAAACAUAGGAGGGCAGGAGGGGGACAUUUUUCAGCCCAGGGGCUGCAUUUCCCUCUUUGAAUAAAGUUUGGACACCACUGCCCUAAGCCAUGCCCUCUCACCAGGCCUCUUUUCCCAGGGCUGUGCUGCAAUGUUUCAAUGGUGAUUAUUAUUGUUUUGCUGCAAAUUAUUGGCCUCUUUUUGGUUAGAAACAGAUGAAACUACCUUAUUUUUGCUCCACAUUUCAUACCAUUCUUCUUGAGGUGCAUUAUUUAAGUUAGGAAGGCAGAAAGAUAAAGCAAGACAAAAUCAAGCAUGUCAAAGCAUUUGCAGACACAAGAAAGUAAAAUGGAUGGUUAGAUCAAAAUUAUUCUGAUCUGAAUCCAAACUUUGCUUUGCAACAUUUGAUGCUAUGUGUAUAAGUAGGCUGAAUGUCCCUCCAUUAUAAUUUAUGUAGUACUGUAUUAUUAUUUUUAUUAGAUUUAUAUCCCACGUUUCUAUCCAAAUGAGCCAAGCAGGGAUGUCAACUUGAAUAAAAUAUUGUGAGGAUCCAGGUAGGCCCUGCCCUGCAUAAUUUAUCACAUGACACAGUGCACACAUACUAUUUGAAUUGGAAUGCCCAUCAACUUUGUGGGGGCCCAGCCCCCUCAAAUAUUGUAUUGUGGGGGCCAAAGCCCCCAUGGCCCCUAGGAGUUGGCUCCUAUCGAAUCAAGGGUGGAGAACAACAAGUGAUCAAACAAUUAUAAUAAUAAAUCUUUAAAGCAAUUCCAGUACGCAUUCAUAUUGGGAAAGAUUUCAACUUAAAAGGCUCAUUGAAAGAGGGAAGUCUUCAGUAGGUGCUGUUAAGACAAUCAAGACGGCGUCUGCCUGAUAUUCAAAGGGAAGAAUUACUUAGGGUAGGUGCCAUAACACUAAUGGCCUGAGACCUGUAUUGUGCGGAACAUACUUCCUAUAAAAUGGUAUCUGUAGGAGAAUCUCACAUGCAGAGUGCAGUGACUGACUGGGUUUAUGUCGGGCUGGACAGAGGAGGAGGAGGAAUGGACUUCCUCCCCAUCCUGACCCUUCCAGGGAGGAGGAAGAGGAAGACAGUAUAGAUUUACAACAGUGGUUUGCAGGAGGUCACAGCUCAGAGGCAGAUGAAGGGAAAAGUUGGGAAAUAGUGGGAGGGGAGAGCCGGAGCAGCAGCUGGCUGACAUGUCAUUAGAAAGCGUUCUAGACCCACCAUCUCCCAGAACCUGGCAAGCCUUAAAAGUAGAAGAGCAAAGAGCUUGAAGACAGAGGGCACUUAGUGGCAUCCAUAGAGGAGGUGAUGAUGAUGACAAAUGAGGAAGUGGGAGAGAAUUCACCUGGGACAACACCAUUAUCCAAGAGGCUGGGUUCUAUAACUUCUCUCUGUAAAGUUUGAAAUAAAAAAAGAACUGUAAGAAACUUUUCCUUGUCUUUAUACUUUCCUGGGCAACCAGCUGGGAACUGCUGAUAGCAUCCUGACUGUAUAUAAGGGGUGAGAGAAUCUUUCAGGUACCUGAGAGGCUACAAAAAGAAGUGCAAAAGUCAGGUACAUGAAGAGAAAAUGGGAUCUGUUGUCAUUCCCAUUUGCAAUUGGUUGUCCAGUUACUUAUACAUGGGCAAGUAAUGGAACAAGGCAGAAACCGAGCACAAGAGUCUGCUGGCAUAUUUCUUUGCAUGGUACAUAAUUCAGUGGUAGAAUAUCAGGAUUUUUAUGCAGAAAGUCUUAGGUUCAGCCCUUGACAUCUCCAGGUAGGAUUGGGAAAUAUCACCUGAAUCAUGAUCAAUGAUCAUCUGAAUCAUUGAGAGCCUCUGCCUGUGAAGAUAAUACUGAGCUAGAUGGUCCAAUGUUCUGCCUCAGAAUAUGACAGCUUCCUAUGUUCUGCCUGUCAUAUAUUCUCUGAUAUAUCUAUUUUCAUGAGCAACCCAAUCGCUGAGCUUUGAGAUACGUUGGGGCUGCCAGAGCAUACCUUUGUUUGGCUUCCUUGGAAUGGAAGUCACUGGAGAUUGUGGUCACACAUACACACACACACUGCAGGGCCUCACAGCAUUAACACUCCAUUCCACCUUGUUCCUCCAUUAGGUUUCUAUGGGACUUCAUCACAGAGAGCAAUUCAAGCCUCUUGUCUCCAGUACUUCAGACAGGGCUAGAAAAAAUACUUGCCCCAUCACCAGUUAGUUCUUUCUGUGGCAACAGAGCCAAUUCUUUAGUUAUGUAAAAAAGAAUGCUUGACUAGGGCCAUUGACUUAACAAAGAAAUUGGUCUGACUACUUUAGCAGGUUUUUUUUACCAUGGAAUCCAAUUUUACAAAUAUAGAUACAGUUUGUAAUGGUGUUUUAUCCUUUUUAUGUUGUACACCUUACUGAUUUUUUAAGAUAAAAGUAUAGAAAUACAUUUAAUAAAUGUCAGGAGCUGGCCUGCUUCCGACUUGAGAAAACAGCAUGCAAGAGGUAAUUAACAGAAGAUUGAUUGCAUACAAGCAAUUAGCCUCCGAUCACUCUCCCCGAGCAACCAUCUAUCACAAUUAUGUUGACUCAUCUGAAGAACACUUCCAGCUACUACAGAAUAUCCUGAGCCUCCUACUCUUACGUUUCAGGCGUCGUUGUCUGUCUUGGACUUUUUCCAUUUGUCUAGUUCUGGGACUGAUGGGGUUAGCUACCUCCUCUUCUGCUGAGGAAAUUCUCCCCCACCCCUGUGCCGUGAGUGACUGUGAUUCCUCAGAGAGCUGGCUCCCAUCCAGCCCGCCUUUCCUGUGUUGAUAAGCCUCAUUCCUGCCAGCUACAGAGGGAGGAGGCGACAGACCACUGGUUCCAGCUGUCUGUGAAAUCUGCAAGUCUCCUUCUCCUUCUGCUUGCCUGCUGUCUAGCUCAGGCUGCCCUUCUCAGUUUUGUGCUGUCGUAUCCAUGACAAUAAAUAAAACCACAGAUUUGGACACAGACCCAAAGAUGACAUUGAAACCAUCUUCCAAUCCUGUACCAAUACUGAGAAUGGGGAAGGGGAGAGGAAUGAGAUGCCCCAUGAUAUUCUUGUAAAGAAGCUGGUAAAAUGCGGUCUUGACUAUGCUACCACUCAGUGGAUUUGUAACUGGCUGACUGACCGAACCCAAAGGGUGCUCAUCAAUGGUUCCUCUUCUUCCUGGAGAAGAGUGACUAGUGGGGUGCCACAGGGUUCUGUCUUGGGCCCGGUCUUAUUCAACAUCUUUAUCAACGACUUGGAUGAUGGACUCAAGGGCAUCCUGAUCAAAUUUGCAGAUGACACCAAACUGGGAGGGUGGCUAACACCCCAGAGGACAGGAUCACACUUCAAAACGACCUUGACAGAUUAGAGAACUGGGCCAAAACAAACAAGAUGAAUUUUAACAGGGAGAAAUGUAAAGUAUUGCACUUGGGCAAAAAAAAUGAGAGGCACAAAUACAAGAUGGGGGACACCUGGCUUGAGAGCAGUACAUGUAAAAAGGAUCUAGGAGUCUUGGUUGACCACAAACUUGACAUGAGCCAACAGUGUGACGCGGCAGCUAAAAAAGCCAAUGCAAUUCUGGGCUGUAUCAAUAGGAGUAUAGCAUCUAGAUCAAGGGAAGUAAUAGUGCCACUGUAUUCUGCUCUGGUCAGACCUCACCUGGAGUACUGUGUCCAGUUCUGGGCACCACAGUUCAAGAAGGACACUGACAAACUGGAACGUGUCCAGAGGAGGGCAACCAAAAUGGUCAAAGGCCUGGAAACGAUGCCUUAUGAGGAACGGCUAAGGGAGCUGGGCAUGUUUAGCCUGGAAAAGAGGAGGUUAAGGGGUGAUAUGAUAGCCAUGUUCAAAUAUAUAAAAGGAUGUCACAUAGAGGAGGGAGAAAGGUUGUUUUCUGCUGCUCCAGAGAAGCGGACACGGAGCAAUGGAUCCAAACCACAAGAAAAAAGAUUCCACCUAAACAUUAGGAAGAACUUCCUGACAGUAAGAGCUGUUUGACAGUGGAAUUUGCUGCCAAGGAGUGUGGUGGAGUCUCCUUCUUUGGAGGUCUUUAAGCAGAGGCUUGACAACCAUAUGUCAGGAGUGCUCUGAUGGUGUUUCCCGCUUGGCAGGGGGUUGGACUCGAUGGCCCUUGUGGUCUCUUCCAACUCUAUGAUUCUAUGAUAGCUGAUGUCAUAUCCUGUUACAGAUGCAAUUAAAACAUGCCUUUCCUCUUCAGAACUAUCUUAGGAAGCAGUCCAAUACUGAUUCACGUCUAUAUAAAUUUUCAGGAUAGGAGCUGCAUUGAGAAGCUGCUACCUGUAGCUCUGUAGUUCUGUGGUUCACUACACGAGGCAGAUAUCCACAGAGAUCUUAAUUGUUCCUGACAUUUUGCCAUCCUGUGCUCAAUGUCAGAAAUGAGAGUUUCAAAUGGCAGAGACUAACGAUUUAUGUUUCAGACUGGCCAUUUUGGGGAGCAUGGUGGUGUUUUAGGUUUUCUUAGGUAAGCUGUUUGCAGGAUCCUAGAUGGAAAGGUGAAAGAGAAGUGCUCUUCCAUUAAUACCUGUCUUAGGGCCCAGGGGAGAACUAGCAGUAGAAGAUCCUGCAAUAUGACCCUGAUACCAAAUUACAGAACAUGGCUUUAUAACAAGACAGUAAUUCAGAUACCUCCAUUGUACAUGCACAGACUUAUAAAGCUUAGUUAUUUCAACAUUUAGAUCCUCACUGGUUGCUGCAGCAUUUUAUUAAGGAUCCUGCUUGCACAGAAAGGGUUGUCACAUCUCCAGGCAAGCAUUAAAAGAAAUGUUCAAAAUAACUAGACUGCCCCAGGGGCGAACGAUUUAUUUGCUGGCAACCGAUGCAUCCUCAAUAUGCUUAUUCUACUGUUUUCUCACUACAUGUUAAAUCUCAGUAAGCCCACAUGUUUUUCCCCACUUACCUCUGCUAUAUAACUCACAAAACUCUAUUGGUGCAAAUGUUACUGCGUUGCAAUGCAAGGCAGUUAAGAUUAUUUUUGUUGCUUAAUCAAUUGAAUUGCUAUCAUUUUUUGUUGUUUCCUCCCCACAAGGAAGGUUAAUCAAAGAACUAGGAGAGAGAUUCGCAGUUCUAAGAAAUGAAAAGAAUGGUAAUUUCUGAAAUUAUUUUGUGGGGACACGAAUGGACAUGUUGUAGAAUUCUAGUCCAACCCUCUGCAAUGCAGGUAUCACAGCUAAAUAAUUCAUGAGAGCGUGUCACCCAACCUCUUU